ACUAGUGAUUGGUGAACCUGCGGAAGGAUCAUUA
RNAcentral lists this ribosomal RNA (34 nucleotides) under Penicillium griseoroseum. RNAcentral's name for it is "partial 18S ribosomal RNA". Lineage: Eukaryota; Fungi; Ascomycota; Eurotiomycetes; Eurotiales; Aspergillaceae. The record is from RNAcentral.